GACGAACGCUGGCGGCGUGCUUAACACAUGCAAGUCGAACGGAAAGGCCCAGCUUGCUGGGUGCUCGAGUGGCGAACGGGUGAGUAACACGUGGGUGAUCUGCCCCUAACUUCGGGAUAAGCUUGGGAAACUGGGUCUAAUACCGGAUAGGACAAUCGUUUAGUGUCGGUUGUGGAAAGUUUUUUCGGUUAGGGAUGAGCCCGCGGCCUAUCAGCUUGUUGGUGGGGUAAUGGCCUACCAAGGCGUCGACGGGUAGCCGGCCUGAGAGGGUGGACGGCCACAUUGGGACUGAGAUACGGCCCAGACUCCUACGGGAGGCAGCAGUGGGGAAUAUUGCACAAUGGGCGCAAGCCUGAUGCAGCGACGCCGCGUGGGGGAUGACGGCCUUCGGGUUGUAAACCUCUUUUGACAGGGACGAAGCUUUGGUGACGGUACCUGGAUAAGAAGCACCGGCUAACUACGUG
This 464-nucleotide ribosomal RNA is filed under the name uncultured bacterium. Its description in RNAcentral is "partial 16S ribosomal RNA". It matches the Rfam family "Bacterial small subunit ribosomal RNA", at positions 28 to 507 of the family's 1533-position model. The record is from RNAcentral.